This 72-nucleotide small nucleolar RNA is filed under the name Vicugna pacos (alpaca). RNAcentral describes it as "Small nucleolar RNA SNORD112 (ENSVPAG00000017661.1)". The record is from RNAcentral. Lineage: Eukaryota; Metazoa; Chordata; Mammalia; Artiodactyla; Camelidae.
UAAACCCAUGAAGAUAGUGUUUCAUGAAUCAUGGUUCCUGAUUAAUCUAGCUCUGAGCACCUGAGGUCCAUU